This 497-nucleotide ribosomal RNA is filed under the name uncultured bacterium. RNAcentral describes it as "partial 16S ribosomal RNA". It matches the Rfam family "Bacterial small subunit ribosomal RNA", at positions 28 to 507 of the family's 1533-position model. The record is from RNAcentral.
GAUGAACGCUGGCGGCGUGCCUAAUACAUGCCAGUCGAGCGAACAGACGAGGAGCUUGCUCCUCUGACGUUAGCGGCGGACGGGUGAGUAACACGUGGAUAACCUACCUAUAAGACUGGGAUAACUUCGGGAAACCGGAGCUAAUACCGGAUAACAUGUUGAACCGCAUGGUUCAACAGUGAAAGACGGUCUUGCUGUCACUUAUAGAUGGAUCCGCGCCGCAUUAGCUAGUUGGUAAGGUAACGGCUUACCAAGGCAACGAUGCGUAGCCGACCUGAGAGGGCGAUCGGCCACACUGGAACUGAGACACGGUCCAGACUCCUACGGGAGGCAGCAGUAGGGAAUCUUCCGCAAUGGGCGAAAGCCUGACGGAGCAACGCCGCGUGAGUGAAGAAGGUCUUCGGAUCGUAAAACUCUGUUAUUAGGGAAGAACAAAUGUGUAAGUAACUAUGCACGUCUUGACGGUACCUAAUCAGAAAGCCACGGCUAACUACGUG